RNAcentral lists this long non-coding RNA (4095 nucleotides) under Equus caballus (horse). RNAcentral's name for it is "lncRNA (ENSECAG00000055416.1)". The record is from RNAcentral. Lineage: Eukaryota; Metazoa; Chordata; Mammalia; Perissodactyla; Equidae.
AUAAGAGCUUUCUAUGGGACUUGGAAGAAGGUCAGUUUGCAUAUUGCAGUUGAAAUCGCCAUGCCUUCUGUUCUUCCCAGGCACACUUCUAGAUUACAUUUCUAAGCAUGCCUUGCAGUCGUAUGUGGCCAUGGCAUUGAGUUCAGCAAGGUGCAGAGGAUACAGCGGUACACACCAAGAUUUUGGAGCUGGUCAAGCCACAAGAUGGAAGGAGCCUGAGUACCUGAAGACCAUGUGGAAGGCAACCUUAAACCCAGGAACCUACUCUUUGGACUUACACAUGAACAAGAAAUCAACUUACGAAGCCAUCCAGAUUUUGGGGUGUUUUAAAAUUAAAAUCUUAUGAGGCCCUGGCUGCUUCUGGGAUGACACAGGAGUCUCCCUGGUGACUUCAGGACAGGCCAGAAAAGCUACAUGGGCAGACCUGAGGAAUGGCUUCUGAAACGUGCCCUACUGUGCUUCUAUUUUUUUAACAACUCUAUAUGUAGAUUUAAUGUUUCUUAAAAAAAACUAUUUUUGGGGGUGGGAAUGAACUAUUCAAUGUUAAUUCAAUUAAAAAAUUAAACAUGAGUUGUUAGUAAAAGUCUUCUGGAUAUUUAGGAAUAUUUUAAUUUUAACAAGAGAAAGAUGACAGUUUAGGUCUAGCCAAUUCUUGCGAUUAUCAUUUUGGAGGUAGUUUUGUGUCUAUCUUCUUGCCUUCCAUCUUUGCCUCUUUAUUCUUUCUGAAAAGAUAAAUCUUAACUUUUGAAAUGAAAAUAUAUUUUUACCUUCCUGGUUGUUAAAGUAAUAUAUGCUUAUUGUAGAUUCUUCUUCACAGGACUGAUUGAGCUGCGAUAGGGAUUCAUUGAGAAGGGAAGUGAGGGAAGAGGCUAGGAAAGAGGAAGAACGAAUAAGCAAGGAUGCAGCAUGUGUGUGUAUUCUUCUGUGUCUUCAGAGACAUUCUCAUGGGAAUGUGGAGGAUGCUGUCGCCAGACAGGAUUGUUAGUCAGAUGUCAUUGAAAAAUAUGUAGCUUACAUAGCUUUUAAAAUAAUUUUAACUUAUUAAAUCACAUAAAAGAAUGCAUUCUGGCAGGUGUGUAUAAAUGGCUAUAAAAUUGUCUUCUUUUGACAUGCCAUAAGCAGAUCUUCAGGGAACUUAACUCACCAUGGGAUAGUUGCAGUUAAAUUCCUUGGGCCUGGAUUCACUUGAAGUUUUUGUAGGACUGUAAUGAAAUGUUUUAGAAAUAUGGUCUAAAAGUCUAUGAUUAUAUGAUAAUGCCAAAAGGUGGGGAAUAGAUAGACUUUAUUUUGCUGUAACUUUACCCAGACCUCUACUUGACAGCAACUUACCUUGAGUCAUUUGCAGAUGGCCACCUGUCUUGGCUUGGGGGUCUUUAGUUUUUCACAGUUGCUGUGGACACGGCCAUGGCAGGUAGCCAGUAAGAAUUUACUGAAAGGUAAUCAAUACUGUGUGUAUAUGGUGACCAAACCAGGAAGUGUAAGCCUUUUGAAGGUGAUGGUUUGCCAGAACUAGAACCCUGUGAUUCCUGUGUGGGCAUGUGACAAAAUGUUUCCAGUUUGUGUGCCUUCCAUGAUUCUAUUCUUGCCAUUUACUUAGUCACACCACUAAGUUAACAUAACAUGGUUGUCAGGAGUGAGGCCACUGAAAAUAGUUAUAACUAUGUAUUAGUUUACUUGGGCUGCUGUAACAAAGUACCACAAACUCAGUGGCUUUAGCAAUGGAAAUUUAUCAUCUCACAGUUUUGGAGGCUAGAAGUUCAAGAGGAAGUUGUUGGCAGAGCCAUGCUCCCUCUGAAGGCACUAGGCAAGGAUCUGUUCCAGGCCUCUCUACUAGCUUCUGGUAGUUCCUUGGCUUGUGGCAGCAUAGCUCUAGUCUUUACAUAGUGUUCUUCCUGUUUGUUUGCCUGUGUCCAAAUUCCUCUUUUUAUAAGGACACCAGUCAUAUUGGAUUAGGGGCCCCACCCUUACCCCAAUAUGACCUCAUCUUAACAAGUUACUUAUUUCCAAAUAAGGUUACAUUUUCUAGUACUUGGGGUUAGGAUGUAAACAUAUGAAUUUCGGGGAAAACACAAUUCAACUCAUAAUAGACUCACUUUAUAUUCGAACCAGUGGUUCUCAAUAUUGGUUGUACAUUAGAACCUAUUGGGGAGCUUUAAAAAUCCUGAUGCCCAGAUUGCACCCCAGACUAAAGACAUCAGAAUAUGUGUGAGAUCCUGGCAUUAGCACUUUUUAAAUCUUGCCAGGUGAUUCCAAUAUGUAGCCAGGAUGAAGAACCAUUCUAUUUGGGUGUCCCUCACUAAGAACAGAAAUUCACCCAAUUCUACAGAUAAUAUGUUAAGAAAAUGAAAUUCCAGUAACAUAUUCAAAUUUUUCUCCUUGUUGUUGUAGCAGUAAGAUUAAUUUUAGAAUCAGGACAAAAUUUUUGGGAAAAGGAUUACAGGUGAUUUUUUUCCUUUUCAAUUUUUUCUUGUACCUAUUUAGAAAUUUUUCUACAAUUAACAUGGAAUUCUUGUACAAAAACCCAAUCAAUAAACUUUUUUAAAAAUUAAAAAACAUAUCCCUUUUUCUUAUUAUCAACUAUCAUGGACUAGUAUGCAGAAAAAAAUAGAAAAGCAUUUCCUCUGGAUUUAGUAUCAAAAAGAGGCUUUGAUAAAUUCUUGGCUCUACUAUCUAAUUACUAAUAAGUCAAAGAACUACAGGAGACUCUUUUUAAAACAAAAUGAUUAUUUAUGGUAGCAGUUCACCAAUAUUUAACUGAUAUAUAGGUAACCAAACUAUGUUGCAAAUCAACUCACUCAGAUACCUGGGCAUACAUUUCAAAACCAAUUUAUCUUGAAGGUUGUUGUAGGAAAUGAUAUUGCUCAAUCUUAAACAUUCUUGGGCUCUCCAUCUUAAAUGGUUUAGAUUUUUUUUUAAAGCCAAGGUAGGGUUUGGUUACAUGCUUUAAACUUUUUCAGGAUUAAUUUAUUGUGGUCUAGAAUUUGGAGCCUUUUUGUCUACUCUCCAUGAGUUAGUGGUGAUCCAAUAUUAUUUCUCAAGAAGAAUGUUGACCCUGUCCAUGGGUGGUCCCUUGACCUUCUCUUUACACUCCUCAACUUUCAUAAAAGGCUAUGAAUCACUACGAUCCACUCGGCUGAUUGUUAAAACAUAUUGUUCUACGUUCAACUGGUAACAUAGGAUACACUGAUACCAAGAACUCAUCUGGAAGAAGAAGCUCAAGCUUGUUGUCAUUUAAUGCUUGUCUAAAGCUUGGUUGGGAUUCUGGAAAUUCAUCCUUUAGAUAUAAUUGCACACAUGUGGAAUGGCAUAUGUUCAAGCUUAUGCAUUGUAGCAUUUCUUUUGUAAUAUAAAAGAUUGGAAACUAAUUUACCUUUUUUCUUUUACUGAUUGUACUUUCAGUGUUGUAUCUAAGAAAUCUGCCUAACAUAAUGUCACAAAGAUCUUCUUCUGUGUUUUUUCCCAGAGGUUUUAGAAUUUUAGGUUUUAUAUUUAGGUCUAUGAUUUGUUUUGAGUUAGUAUUUGUAUAUGGGGCAUAUAAUGGACUGUUCACUGCUUUUGCAUAUAAAUAUACAAUUGUUCCAGGAAAAGAAUAGCCUUUGCACCUUUGUCAAAUCAGUUGUCCAUAUAUAUAUGUGGGUCUAUUUCUGGACUCUAUUUUGUUCCAUUAAUCUAUUUAUUUAUCUUGACACUAAUACCACACUGUUUGGAUUACUGUGGCUUUAUAACGUCUUGGGCUUCAUUAGAAUUAAAAACUUCUUCUCUUUGAAAGACACUAUUAGAGAAUGAAAAUUCAAGCCUCAGGAUGGGAAAAAUAUUUGCAAAUCAUAUAUCUAAUAAGGGACUUGUAUCCAGAACAUACAAAGAACUCAAACUCAAAAAUAAGACAACUCAACAAAAACGAGCAAAAAAUUUGAACAGACACUUACUUCACCAAGAAGUAAAUGGAUGGAAAAUAAGCACAUGAGAAGAUGCUCAAAGUCAUCACUCUUUAGGGAAAUACAAACUAAAACUACCAUGAGACACCACCAUACCCCGAAUAGAAUGGCUAAAAUUAAAAGGACUGACCAUACCAAGUGUCGACAAGGAUGUAGUGGU